Molecule: long non-coding RNA, 1453 nt
Filed under: Macaca fascicularis (crab-eating macaque)
Lineage: Eukaryota; Metazoa; Chordata; Mammalia; Primates; Cercopithecidae
Description: lncRNA (ENSMFAG00000055033.1)
Source: RNAcentral
CACGGAGCCCUGGGGACAAGGAAUCACUCACAGAAAUCUUCAGGACAGCUUUGAAAACCGACUUAGUCAUCCACACAUGCUUCAGAAAUUAUUCAGAUAAGUUAGGAACCCAGAACAUUUGGGCUGAUUUUGUUAUUUGUUGUAUUUCUCUCUUGAUGUUCAUUUUAUCCUCCAAGUUCCUUUCCUCUUAUGCUAAUAAUUAUCUGCCUUAAAUGGAUAAAAGUGAAGACCCAUUUCCUUCUGAUUAGUCUGCCAGUCACCAGUGGGUCUUCUUGCCUGAUCUAUGCAUUCCUUCUUCCCUCCAGCCUCAGGGCCAACUGGUGAUCUCACACCUGGACUCCAGCAGUAACUUCCAGCCCGCCUCCAGACACACCUCAGCCUGGUCUGCUCUGCUGUCAACUAGUUCUCUCUUCUCAAUCACUUCCUUUCCAUUCUCACUCUUGACUGCCUGCCACAGGUAAAUCAAGCUGGCAGCAGUAAUACAAACCCUACUACAACCAGACUGCCCAAUGUGUUCCCUUUCCCCUGGCCACAGACAGAGCACGGCUCAGGCCGACCAUAGCCUCCCACUCGGCUCUCUAGAACUUAACCUUGCAAGUUUAAGCCAGCUGCUCAACCUCUGUGGCCUCAGGGUCAUCAAGACUGGAUGUUCCCUAAGGCCUCUUUCAAAUGUGCAUAAGCAGAGACAUGAUGGGGGGGAGCCUAUGCUGUUGGAGCCGAAAGGGGUCUUAAGUGCCACCAUGACACCUCUGUUUAUGCAAACUCCACAUGCAGAUGCCCUGUGCCAACUCCUCUGCCUCCAUUUCCUCAUCUGUAAAAUGGGUAUCACGAGAGCACUCACCUUGAAAAAUGAUGAGACUUAAACAAAAUAUCCAUAUUAAGUAUUUAGAACAUGGCCUGGCUCACAGUGAGAUCUCAGUAAAUGGUAGCUUUGUCAUUGGUGUUCGUUAGGAUUAUCUGAUUCUUACUUUCUUCGGACAUCAGCCCACAUCCACCACCUCCAGGAAGCCUGCCAUGAUGACUGCAGUCCUUAGUAAUUUCUCCCUCUUAGUAACUUACAGCAUUUCUUCUGUCUUCCCUUCACUUGACACACAAUCACACACACUCUACAAGUACUGUUUCUGUAUUCUUAUUUUAUCUAACUUGUGAUGCUUUUCCCUCAACCAGAUUUAUGGAGGGCGCCCCCUAUUGUGCUUCUCUAUAAACACCAUGGUGACUUGACAGUGCCAUGCCUCUUGUUGAACACCUGGAGCUACCGACAUUGGAAAACUCCAACAAAUGCCCAAUGUCCUAGUAUGCCCAGAAAAGGGCCUGUCUAGGAAGCUGAGAGUCAGUCAAAUUCGGGACCAAGAACUUCACUUCAACAAAGAUAAGAGUCAUUAACACAUCCACUUCCAUGGAAAUUGCUCACGGCGGAUGAUCUGUGAUUAAAAAAAAAAAAAUUAAAAAAAAA